Molecule: long non-coding RNA, 1446 nt
Organism: Spinacia oleracea (spinach)
Lineage: Eukaryota; Viridiplantae; Streptophyta; Magnoliopsida; Caryophyllales; Amaranthaceae
Exons: 3
Source: RefSeq, a predicted model, not a curated record
CUUCUUUUCCACUCACUUAUGCUUCUCACUCUCUUUCUCUCACCCGACUCCAUCCCUCUUCACCUCAACCUCCCUCUCUUCCUCACUCCACCGCCAUGCCCCGUCGCGCCGCCUAGCACCGCGCUGCUGCUCCCUCGCCUCCCUUCUCCGUUGGUUGAUGCGGGUGUUGUGGUUGUUGUUGAUAAUAGUGCUACUCUUCCCCUCUCCUCUCGGUCUUGCUCCAUGCUACCGCCGCCGAUGGUGGCCGUUGAAUUUCAAUCAGUAAUACUCCCUCAUCAAUGGGUAAUUACUUGACUUCUUUAGUUGAUUGAUUGAUUAGUUCUUGAUUUAAGAUCCUAAAACCCUAACUUAUUCAUUUUCUUUCUCCUCGUGGGUGCGCCACCCCUUCUGGUUGCCGGCGUGACGAUGUUCUAUCGUCGUCGCCGUUUGUCCUGCUCGUUGCGGUUGUUGUUGUCAUUGGUUGUCGGGCUGAUUGUGUUUUGCUCUCUCCUCUUUUCGUUCCUCUGCUCUGCCUCCUCUCCUCCUCGCCGGAGCACCGCCCUCCGUGACUACUCGAGUUGGUCACGUUGUUGGGGUCGAUCUUGUUAUUGUUGAUGUUGUUGAUUCCCUUCUUGCUUUCCUAUUUCACAUGAGGGUGAAUUUGUUGGAGAAUAGAACAUCCAAAUUUGCGCUAAGAAUUCACUCACGGUGAUCUUGAUGAAAAAUGAUGGAAAACAAGUGAAUUUGAGCCAAAACAGGGCUUGUGUGGUCGAGUGGCGUUUUGUGCGCCCGAACAGGUAGUGCAAAUGGAGUUCAAGGAGAUUCCAGUUUUGUGCGGUCGAAUGCCCUCUGUCAUUCGGUCGCACAAAACGGAUUUUUGAGGCAAAAUGUCCCAAGAUUGUAAAACGACCGCACAACCCUGGUAAUUCGACAGCACAGGUUUUGUGCGAUCGAACGUGCUCUGUUGUUCGGUCGCACAGAUUUGGUUUUUGGAGGCAGAAUGUCCCUAACUUGGGAUGCGACCGCACAAUGUUCUCUACUCGACCGCACAAAAGUUGUCCGCCCAAACGGCUUUCCUUGUUCGACCAAAUGAAGCUGCGAAGGAAUUAUGAGCCAAAGAAAUCCCAUUCGACCGAACAGGGUUCUUCGUUCGGUCGCACAUGACGAAGGAAGUGUUCUUCGCUGCCUUUGCUCGCACAAGACCCAUUAUUUGCUCGAAUGAUUAUUUUACGUUCUGCGCGGGCUGCUCUUAUUCGAAUUAUGGCUUCUAUUUGGGGAAACAUAUAAAUAGAUUUUUUGAUUUAUUUUGUAGAGAGUAGAAUUUUAGUUGAUAAUUGGAUAUUCUAAAAGUAGAUUUUCAGCAAUUCUAGAGAGAGAAACUCUCCUCCAUUCAAGCUUCAAUUUGUAAUCCUUCUUAACUCUUCUUUAAUUUUGCAAUUUAAUUCUUAGUUUCUUAAUUCUUGCUCU